GAGUGCCUACGGGGGGCAGCAGUGGGGAAUAUUGCACAAUGGGGGAAACCCUGAUGCAGCAACGCCGCGUGAGUGAAGAAGUAUUUCGGUAUGUAAAGCUCUAUCAGCAGGGAAGAAGAUGACGGUACCUGAGUAAGAAGCCCCGGCUAACUACGUGCCAGCAGCCGCGGUAAUACGUAGGGGGCAAGCGUUAUCCGGAUUUACUGGGUGUAAAGGGAGCGUAGACGGUAUG
Molecule: ribosomal RNA, 232 nt
Filed under: uncultured bacterium
Lineage: Bacteria
Description: partial 16S ribosomal RNA
Rfam family: Bacterial small subunit ribosomal RNA
Source: RNAcentral